RNAcentral lists this ribosomal RNA (118 nucleotides) under Pteropus alecto (black flying fox). The record is from RNAcentral. Lineage: Eukaryota; Metazoa; Chordata; Mammalia; Chiroptera; Pteropodidae.
GUCUACAGCCAUGCCACCCUGAACAAGCCCGAUUCCAUCUGAUCUUGGAAGCUAAGCAGGGUUGGGCCUGGUUAGUACUUGGAUGGGAGACCACCAGGAUAACCAGGUGCUGUAGGCG